This is a long non-coding RNA of Phycodurus eques (leafy seadragon), 2927 nucleotides long. RefSeq lists it as uncharacterized. NCBI's taxonomy places the organism in Eukaryota, Metazoa, Chordata, Actinopteri, Syngnathiformes, Syngnathidae. The transcript is spliced from 2 exons. The record is from RefSeq and is a predicted model, not a curated record.
CUUCCCCUCCUCUUCCCUCAAGCCCCUGCCAUCUCAGCCACCAGCGUUUGGCUUUUUCCACUCUUGUGGCACAUUACUGUAACGCUAUUGUGAGACAACUCCCUGCCUCUUUUCGGCUCGGUAAAAAAACAACAACAGCAGAGCUCGGUAGCGUGAGUGUGUCAGUCAGUAAGGGAAACGACGCACCUCGCACAAAGAGACAAGAAUCAAAAAGUCCAACUCACUUCGCUGUGUCGGGGAGAAGGCAGAAAAUCGAGGAAGCGAAGACGAGCAGAAGGAGCAGAAAGCUUCUGCUGAGCACGAGCUGGCAGAGGGAGAAUGCGGCGGACCCGGUGGCGUUCGGACCUCGGCGUGCGGGUCGACCUCGCCGAAGAGGGACGAGCCCUCGCGAUAACUACUGCUGGCAACUAGUCAGCGAUCAAACGUAUUCUCCUACAUCAGCACCAUGUUUGUGUGGCCACAAAACUGCAGUAAAACGACACCGUGUGAUAUCAAAAAUAAAUAUUAAACAUCAAUCAAUGUGCACUGAAUGUGAUUAUGAGAUUAUUGAAUGUUGAUGUAUUUUAUUCUAUAUCAUUUAAUAGACUUAUGCAAUGACUGCAUUUUCAAACGUAUUUUUUCUUUUUUUUCAUAUUGUUAUAAUCCUUUUCCACACACACAAAAAAAAAAAAAAGGCUAUCAUUGUUUCUAUUUUUUGGGUUAUGUAGUUGCAUGAGGGGGUCAAAAUAUUACAAACAGCUCUCUGUGUGAUGCAGUCCGAUUGUGCACCAUUGCCAAUUACAAUAUUAAACAUAGUUAGAUGAAUUAAGUGGUCAUCGUUAAGAUUAAUUAAGUGGUCAUAGUGCAAAGCCAUCACCCCAGUAUUUAACUUGUCAUCAUAUUAAAUCAAUAAAUAUAUCCAGUCGUUUAUUUUAACAUAUUUGUAUUAACACCAGUCGUUUAUUUUAACAUUUUUGCAUUAACAUUUAAAUUCAGUUUUAACAGUAUCAAAUUACAUAUAAUUCAAUGAUGUGAAUAUUAAUAAUAACAGCAUUAAUAUUAAAAUAUAUCUAGCUCUGUUUGCCAACACCGUCCCAAUUAACCCCCCCACCCCCACCACCACCACCACAGGCCCCUUGUGGCAACUUUAACCAACCAGCUUUUUAGGACCGCAUGUUACAUGUGAAAAAUAUUUGGACUAAUUUCAUACAUUCAUAACGCUCACUGUGUUGGAAUGACAAUACAAUUGACAUUGCUUCAGCUGCUAUAUUUCUCCAAACUUGGCAAUACUAGCGGUCACCCCCCCCCCCCCCCCCCAAAAAAAAACAACAAAAAGAAUCAUUUGAUGGUGUAACUCAGUAAUAAAUGAUUUUUACACCAAGUGCCUACAUAACGACCAACAUUAAAAUAAAGUAGCUAGUAACUAGUUUAAAAAUGAGACGGGUUUUAUUCCUAAGAAUUAUAAUUACUAUUCGAAGUCACUGUAACAUUCAGUUUCAACAUUUAACACUGAGCUUAAAUGUAGGAAUAUAAAAAAAUGAUACACUAAACAACUACCUACAAAAAUGUUUUAACAAACAUCUAAAGAGUAAAUCCAAAUUUAUUGAAAAUUAAAGCUAAAUACAAAUUAAUUGAUUGAUUCUUUCACGUAUCACUAGAGGAAGCCCGUGUACUACACUAUGAGAAUCACUUAUAAAUAAUAUACAUACAGUGACGUAACCUAAGAUGUGAUACCUAACACACAUGGCUAACCGUGCAAAUGCAGUUGCGCUUUCGGUGUCUGUUCCAUGAAUAUUUUCUUGCUGUUAGUGCUAUGAAUCCGUCAUACUAGUCAAACAGUGUGAAUGUAUGACCUCCCGAUUUGGAUCAGCAAAUUGUAAACCGUCAGACACACCCCGCCUGCAUAUAGCCGAAUUGUUCCAUUGAUUACGAUCUAUUCAGUGAGAAAUGUGACAACAUUUUGAGAAAGCGAGGGGUUAAUUCAUCCUGGAUGGUGGAAGACGGAGCAUGCACUAAAUACAUCGAGGUAGAAAUGUAAUUGCACUUAUAGUUAGCAGUAAGAUGCGAUGGUAACCAGUUCUUUUCAAUUAGUCACAAUACAUAGAGCUCUUUGCUUGAUGAGAUAUAAAAAAGAACGAAUGAAAUCACCAACAAGGCAUGGUGAUAAUUGACCCAUGUUAAGGCUAUGCCUGGAUGGAAAAUUUCAUAUCUGGUUAGAAAUUGUGCUUCAAGUGCAUCCAUUUUGUUACAUUGAAAUUUGUACGCAAUUUUGAAGGCAGUGUGAUAUUAAUGUCGGGUGGGCUUUUUGUGUAAAAGCUACACAAUCACAGGUUUGACGUCAGCUGCCAUUUUGGUCAUUCGAGUGUCUUUUUACGGGCAUAUUGAAAUUAGCAGGAGCAACAUAAGGUUCGAGUUUGGUUGCUGCAGAAACUUGACCGUAACCUUUGAAAGUUUGUGUGCAAGUGGAAGUCUUUUUUGAUCGUAACCUUUGAAAGUUUGUGUGCAAGUGGAAGUCAUUUAUUUGAUUUUUUUUUUAAAUAUUUCAUUUCAAAAUGAUAGAAUACGUAAUCAUGUUUGCCCUUUGAACGGAACAUCAACUGGUUUGCGGGUGUGUUUCAUAUGCAGCAAAACCUCCCUUCUGGUGCAUUUCAAUUAUUUACAUUUGAAGCACUAUACUGGAAUAUUUUUAAAGUAUUUGUUUAAGAUAUUGUAUUGUGUGUUAGGAAUAGUAUUUUUAAUUUUGUUAUGUUAAGUGCUUGUUUAGUGUUUGUUUGCUUGUAAACCAACAGCUUUGUUACAUUGUAAUAUAUAAGUUAGCCAUGUGUGUGUGUGUAUUAUAUAUUUUUUUAUUGUGAAUAAUGCAUGGAUGUACAGUGCUACUGUAUUAUUAUUAUUUUUUUUUUACAUUGAUACUAAAAACAAAACUUCCAUUUUGGGUACAUUCUUCA